RNAcentral lists this ribosomal RNA (700 nucleotides) under uncultured Rhizobiaceae bacterium. RNAcentral describes it as "bacterial SSU rRNA". It matches the Rfam family "Bacterial small subunit ribosomal RNA", at positions 8 to 756 of the family's 1533-position model. Lineage: Bacteria; Pseudomonadati; Pseudomonadota; Alphaproteobacteria; Hyphomicrobiales; Rhizobiaceae. The record is from RNAcentral.
AGAGUUUGAUCCUGGCUCAGAACGAACGCUGGCGGCAGGCUUAACACAUGCAAGUCGAACGCCCCGCAAGGGGAGUGGCAGACGGGUGAGUAACGCGUGGGAACAUACCCUUUCCUGCGGAAUAGCUCCGGGAAACUGGAAUUAAUACCGCAUACGCCCUACGGGGGAAAGAUUUAUCGGGGAAGGAUUGGCCCGCGUUGGAUUAGCUAGUUGGUGGGGUAAAGGCCUACCAAGGCGACGAUCCAUAGCUGGUCUGAGAGGAUGAUCAGCCACAUUGGGACUGAGACACGGCCCAAACUCCUACGGGAGGCAGCAGUGGGGAAUAUUGGACAAUGGGCGCAAGCCUGAUCCAGCCAUGCCGCGUGAGUGAUGAAGGCCUUAGGGUUGUAAAGCUCUUUCACCGGAGAAGAUAAUGACGGUAUCCGGAGAAGAAGCCCCGGCUAACUUCGUGCCAGCAGCCGCGGUAAUACGAAGGGGGCUAGCGUUGUUCGGAAUUACUGGGCGUAAAGCGCACGUAGGCGGAUAUUUAAGUCAGGGGUGAAAUCCCAGAGCUCAACUCUGGAACUGCCUUUGAUACUGGGUAUCUUGAGUAUGGAAGAGGUAAGUGGAAUUCCGAGUGUAGAGGCGAAAUUCGUAGAUAUUCGGAGGAACACCAGUGGCGAAGGCGGCUUACUGGUCCAUUACUGACGCUGAGGUGCGA